RNAcentral lists this ribosomal RNA (1267 nucleotides) under metagenome. Its description in RNAcentral is "bacterial LSU rRNA". It matches the Rfam family "Bacterial large subunit ribosomal RNA", at positions 1627 to 2882 of the family's 2925-position model. The record is from RNAcentral.
GUCAGCUAUAUACGACCGUACCGCAAACCGACACUGGUGCGCGAGAUGAGUAUUCUAAGGCGCUUGAGAGAACUCAGGAGAAGGAACUCGGCAAAUUGACACCGUAACUUCGGAAGAAGGUGUGCCCUAUUAGUGUGAAGUGAACAACGGAGCAUGAAUGGGUUGCAAAAAAUCGGUGGCUGCGACUGUUUAUUAAAACCACAGCACUCUGCAAACACGAAAGUGGACGUAUAGGGUGUGACGCCUGCCCGGUGCUGGAAGAUUAAAUGAUGGGGUGCAAGCUCUUGAUUGAAGUCCCAGUAAACGGCGGCCGUAACGAUAACGGUCCUAAGGUAUCGAAAUUCCUUGUCGGGUAAGUUCCGACCUGCACGAAUGGCGUAACGAUGGCCACACUGUCUCCUCCUGAGACUCAGCGAAGUUGAAAUGUUUGUGAUGAUGCAAUCUCCCCGCGGAAAGACGGAAAGACCCCAUGAACCUUUACUGUAGCUUUGUAUUGGACUUUGAACAGAUCUGUGUAGGAUAGGUGGGAGGCUUUGAAGCAGGGUCGCUAGAUCUUGUGGAGCCAACGUUGAAAUACCACCCUGGUGUGUUUGAGGUUCUAACCUAGGUCCAUUAUCUGGAUCGGGGACAGUGCAUGGUAGGCAGUUUGACUGGGGCGGUCUCCUCCCAAAGCGUAACGGAGGAGUUCGAAGGUACGCUAGUUACGGUCGGACAUCGUGACGAUAGUGCAAUGGCAUAAGCGUGCUUAACUGCGAGACUGACAAGUCGAGCAGAUGCGAAAGCAGGACAUAGUGAUCCGGUGGUUCUGUAUGGAAGGGCCAUCGCUCAACGGAUAAAAGGUACUCUGGGGAUAACAGGCUGAUACCGCCCAAGAGUUCAUAUCGACGGCGGUGUUUGGCACCUCGAUGUCGGCUCAUCUCAUCCUGGGGCUGUAGCCGGUCCCAAGGGUAUGGCUGUUCGCCAUUUAAAGAGGUACGUGAGCUGGGUUUAAAACGUCGUGAGACAGUUUGGUCCCUAUCUUCCGUGGGCGCUGCAGAUUUGAGGAAGCCUGCUCCUAGUACGAGAGGACCGGAGUGGACACACCUCUGGUGUAUCGGUUGUCACGCCAGUGGCAUUGCCGAGUAGCUAAGUGUGGAAGAGAUAACCGCUGAAAGCAUCUAAGCGGGAAACUCGUUUCAAGAUGAGAUCUGCCGGGGCCUUGAGCCCCCUAAAGAGUCGUUCAAGACCAGGACGUUGAUAGGUCAGGUGUGGAAGCCAAAGAGAAAAA